GCAUUUAUAAAAGUGACAACCCAAUGUCUGUGGUAUCUGAAGUGAAGAAAUGGAACGCUGGGUUCUAGAGGGAGAUAGCUACUUGUUUCUUCGCAGUGCUCCACACACGUUCAACCUGCAGAAUCAUGAAGGGCCAAAUCGUGUGGAGAUCUUUGACAUCACUUCAAUCCCUAGCCAUCGUAAUGCCAUAUCUGAAACAACAUGCCUGUGUGACAUUUUUGUGGAUGACUGCGAGUCUCCAUCACUUUCCAGUAGCCCAGCCUCUGCCGCAUUUAUCAGGAGAGAAGUGGAUCAGUCUUUUCCAGCAGAUGAUGCCAAUGACUCUUCAGGAUCCUAUCACACUGCCAAUGGAUCUGACUUAAGCGACAACACUGAAGUCACUUACAACACACCUUCUCCAGAAAAUAUCCAGAAUUUUUCCACAUUUGAAACCAGGGAAUCACGUUCACCCCCAGGUGAAUCAACCAUCUUGUCUGAUUCCAAUAAUGGACUUAAACCACUAGACUGCACACCACCUGCAUCAAAAGUCAAUGCUAAUGACCUUUCACAUACAAAUAACUGGGAAGAACCACAAGUGUCAGUGGAUAAUGCCCCAGUGAAUGAAACAGCAAUCACAAAUGCAUCUGAACCACAGUAUGUGAACUCAACAACAGCUGCUACCCUGAUUAAUCCAGCAAAUGGACCUUCUAAUACUUCAUCCUGCUCUUCAGAAGAGAAAGAACCUGCAAUUUUUGAGCAAGAAGGAAUUAUUAAAACACCUCAACAUAAAAGUACAAACCCAUUUUUAGAUAAGCAAAUAUUUGAAUCAGACUGUGAAUCCUUCGCAGGGUAUCCACUUGAACAAAAUAAUGUGAUGUAUUCUGAGAAAAAAGAGAGUAUGAACUAUCGAAGUCCACAAGAGCAAAACAUUCUCUUUGCACAAGGGAUAGUGAACAGUGACUCUGCAUUAGAACUGUCAAACCCUGCUCCAACAGAUUGCAGCCCUAUGCAGGAAAUGUCUACUUCACCUUCAGACAGAGAUAUUAAUUUUCUGCCCAUACCCAGUGUCAUGCAAGAGCCCAGAUUAAACUCCACCUCACCUGUAAGCAGGGAAACUACCUCCACACCUGCAGGUAGAUCUUCACCUGAGGUGCUGAAUUUGUGUCCAACUCAAGUUAGGCAUGCAUCAGAGUCUCCAAACUUGGAGGACACAUAUGGUGCUUCUUUAUCUGUAUCUACACUUCCUACCAGUGAUAAUGUGGAAAUAGAUUCUCUAACUGUGUCUGCCAUUUCUACUGAAACAAGAGGAAUGGUAUGUUCACCCAUAGAUGUUAGAGAAAGACUGGAAUCACCUGAGAUCAAUGAAACCUGCUCUUCUCCUAAACACUCAGCACCUGCUCACUCACCAGAACCUGUACUGAUUAAUUCCCCUGUGGGUUACACCACCAGCCCAUCACCUACAUGUGAGAAAAUUGUUUAUUCUGUUGAACCUGAAGACUCACCAUCCUUCCCUGAGGUCACAAGGAUUGAUUACAGUGACAUCUGCUCCUCUUCUGAUCACUCCGUUUCAGCUCACUCACCAGAACCUGAAAUAAUUCACUCACUGAUGGGUUAUACCAUCAGCCCAUCACCUACACAUAAGAGAAUGCUUUUUUCAGUGGAACCUGAUGACCUUCUAUCCUCCCCUGCCAUCACAAGACCUGAUUAUACAGCAACACCAACAAGCUGUGGAAAUUCCACACCUGUGUUAAGGAGCAUUACCUCCACUCCAAACAGCAGAGAAAAUUACCUUACACCAGAGCCCAAUUCCCCAGCCCCUUCACUGGAAUUGAGAUCAGUCACCUGCUCACCUGAAAUCAAAACAAUAUCAUAUAGUGUUCUGCCACAAAAUACAAAAUCCCCUGGCAUCACAUAUAGCGUUACACAAUCUGAAGGUUUAGCACAAUCACCUGCAGUAGAGACAAAUGUCUGUGGCAACUCCUCUGAAACUUCCAACUAUAUUUUUGGAAAUGACACCUCUGUCUUACCUAGCUCAAGGAAUUUUUUGUCAACACCAGAGAGUAGAUCAAGGCCCUCAUCAGCUGCAUCAGACCAUACCAAACACACAGCACAAAUCCCUUAUCUCAAACCUGAGUCUUCCAUCACUCUUGAAAAGGCAGAAAAUCAGACUUUAUCCAUAAUCUGUGAUAGAAUGAAUCAUCCUUUCUCUAACCCAAUAGACUGUUUUAAUUGUUUUGAUGACCUUGCUGACACAAAGACUCCCAAAAGCAUUGCAUCUGUCCCGAACGAAUGUAAAGGCAGUGGACCACCAGUUCUUAGCCAAAUGCAGAUCUUGCAAGCUUCAAUCUCUAAAACCUCAGAUUCUGGAUUGUCCACAGUAAAAAUUGAGAAAAAUCAAGAAAUUGUCACUGAUAACACAACUGAUUUAACUGUCUGUGGAACAUUAACUUCCACAAGUCCAUGGACCGCAUCUGUGCCGAAACCAAUAGCAUCUAUAGAGAAGAAACAAUGCCAUGUUGAGGUUUCUGAUAGCAGCAAGGGAACAGAAAUGUUGAAAAAUUAUUCCCCAGACAGUAACAAGAGGCUUAGUCAAGUGCCUAUAGCAUUAAGAGAUAGCCAUGGGGUUAUCAGUAGGGACAAUGGUGGUGAAUUUGACAGGCAGCCAUGCAGGGAAAAGGAAGAGAGUGGAAAGAAGGAGGGAGAGGGGAAGGAUACUAUGGGAGAGAGUAGUUACAGAGGGGAACAGGUUGAGCUGUCAUUCAGGGUCAGGAAUAGAAAAGGGCCUGCAGGCCACAGCCCAGCUCGCUCAAGUCAAGACCCAAAGUCAGGAAUUCCAGCUCGCUGUUAUUUUGAGUCGCACCCAACAACUCUGCAGCAACAGAGUCAGCUCAGAGCUCAGGGCUCACAACAAGAGAAUAAGGUUGGCGCCAGGAGGCUCCAUUCAGCUGCCCAGGGUAAAUACAGCAGUGCAGGCUUUCUUUCUCCUGAAUGUACUGGUAAAACCUCCAGCAUGGGAAGUGAAUUUGAUGAAGUAGACAAUGAAGUAAAAUGGUUUACAGAUCCAGCCUUCAGAAGCCUAUCUAGCCCUCAAGUGGAUUAUUUGGAUGUGUACAAUUCAAGCCACAGGUCAUCUACAAAUGUUUCACAGGCUUCGACCGUAGACAGCCCUGGUGCUGUUGCAUGGAUGACAUACGCAGACUUACUUGGCUCAGCGUUACAUGAAAACGAUGGCUCAUCUUUUCUUCCCCGUGAUGGCCUGGACCCAAACAAACACUUUGAAAUAGGGAGUUUUGAGUGUGUGGACGUUGCAUUAGAGAGCCGGGAAGAGUCCAGUAGAGGAAAGAGGACAGUGCCUAAAAGGCAGAUCCAGCUGUUAAGGCGGAACACAGAUGAAUCAAAAUAUAAAGGAAACACUGAAAAUAUACUGAAUUCACCAUCCACACAUAGACGCUCAAAAGACACAUUUGUUCGUCAACAUAGCACACCAGCAUUUGUGCAAAAGGAAGUUUCCAAGGAGGUGCCAGAUUCACCACAGAAUGAAAGGAAAAAGACACUGCAGAAGUCUGUGUCUUUAGAUGAUGGCUCCCCUAAGACACAAAUGGCAUCUUGCAUUAUCAAGAGUGUGUUGUCAAAGAAAAUGCAGGAUGUGCAGAAAGAGACACCAAAAAGUACAGAUCCAGGUCGAUCUGCAGAUAAAAACAAACAUCCUGAUGUCAGCCCCGGCUCUUUUUGUGGUGUACCAAGUACCAUGGAGAAACAUAGUUUAAGCUCUAGUCUACAUUCCCAGUGUACUCUUUCAUCUGAAGAUUUUGCUGUCGGAGAGGAGAGAAUUUCACAUCGUCAGCCGAAGAAGUGUGCUCCAAAAGUUCCUCCAAAACCACUCUUAAGACCUGCAUUCUUUAACACUGGGGAAGCUCAGGUAGCUUGCAACAUUACAAGGGAAGAAGCAAAGCCUAUAUUGGCCCCUCCAAAAGUUGAUGACAAAAUCCAAAACUGCAAGAGUGAUGGGAAAGAAGGGGGAGGUAGCAACCUUGAAGAGAAGUACAAUAUUGAGUCAGCAAAUGCCAAUAUCAGGAAUACAAGUCCUGCUGUUGCUACACCAGCAAUUAGCAUGCCAAGCAGAAUGACAAGCCGAGACAUAAAAAAGUGCCAGAUGACACCGGGAAACCAGGAACAGCUGGCUGGAAAGAGUGUAUUUAUGUCAAAAACCCCAGAAAUAACUUUGAAACCUUCUUCUAUCAAACAAAAAAAGACAUCUUCUCUAAAAGUGUCUCUGUCCCCUGACUUGGAACAGUCCAGAGAAAUGUCUGAAUCUCAGACAAUAGAGAAUGCUGCAGAAGAUAUAAGCACCAGAUCUACCAAAGUCACAGAGACAGAAGACGAUGACAGAAACAAAAAAUCUGUUAUACAUAGAGUUAGGGAUGUGAGGAAGUUGGUAAAAAACACAUACAACCUGUCUUUCAAAGCAUCAAAUUCAACCUCUACUGCAGAAGACAUGGUCGGUCAAGAGAAAAGAGAGAAGCCACCACAAGCUUCUCCAGCCUUGCAAAUUGAAUGUACAGCCAUCAGUUGGAAGGACAAACAAACAUCAGGCAGCAAAGCAAUCCACUGUCUUGGUGAAAAACAACCUGUAGACAUAUCAAAAAUAUCACAACCAUGGGAGUGCGCAGAGACGAGAAGAGAUGCUGACAUCACUGAAAUAACAUCCAAAGUCUCUUCACCAAAGACUGAGUCACAACAAAAAUUCCCAUAUUCUAACUCUACAACUACAGGUGGAUUACCAGAAUCGGAAAGUAUCACUAAGAGAUCUUACAUUCACUGUGAUCAGAGUUCUAAGAUGCCCCCUAGACCCCCAAGUAAGGAGCGCGAAGUUUCUGCAUUGGUGGUUCUUCCGGAUUGCACAUCCAAGACAAAGUCCGUUGCCCCAACAGUGCUUGACUCUACUCAAAUGAAAGCUGCAAGCAGCAGCCACUCUGUAUCCAUGCUACUGAAAGAAAAAGGGAUGCAGGCUGAUAUUGGAGUAUGUGAUGUUCUCACUGAAUCUGCAAGUGCUACAGCUAAACAUGUCAACAGGCUUGAGGUACCUGUACAGGCCUGUUUAUCAGAAAGCAUUUCAAGUGAAGGACAGGUAAAGGCAGAAAUUACAUCAUUGCCUUGCAAUCCAACAGCUCUUGUGAACAAUUCAUCAAGAACAUCCCAACCGAGUGAGAGUCCCAAGGGAACACUGACAGAAAAAUCUUCAACAAAGGAACAAGAAAAAAAGAAAAUAACUGCCACCACAACUAUAGCACAAAUUCCAACUUAUUUAGCAACAUCUGGCAAGCCACAGGUGAGGUCUUUUUCAAGUAGUACAAAAAAUAAUGCCACACCAGUGAAUGCAUCAAAAGAGAUUGAGUUACCCAUACAAGUGAGGUCAAUAUCCACUGAUAGACUAAAGCCGCUUGUACCACCAAAACCCAGCUAUAAACAGUCAUCUGCAGAAGUUACGUCAGUGUCAAGUGACCCAUCAAAAGCAGAUACUCAAGCAUCAUCUGUUAUUAAACAGCAAACCAUGUUAAAUAGUGAAUCAACGAAAAAUGAAACACCAUUAACAGUAAUACACAAGGAUCAACCAAACGAGACUUCAUCAAGAGAUACAAAAAGACUGGCUGUAUCAGCUGUAUCAAGCUACAAACAACCAUCCAUCCAAGUCACAACAACUCCAAGUGUGGUGCAAAAAUCCACCACAAAGACAUUGGCCAGUCUGGAUCAACAGCAGUCUUCUGCUAUCUUGCAAACAACCAGCACUUGCCAGCAGCAAAGCCCAUCAUUCAGUCAAGACCAGUCAAUGCUAGAUAGUUCCUUUACUUCUAACCCAUCAGGACCACAAGCCCUUGGCCAAACAGAAUCUGUGACGAGAGCAUCAUCUAACAAUCGUUUUCACACAGAUGAGUAUCUAUUCUACGCUUCAGAUGAUCCUCCCAGCUAUGAUGAGCGAGAGAGUUUCAGCCCACUACGGCUAUCAGACUUACCCCCCCAUAGGUCAUGCCGGUAUCAUUCAACCACAAAGCAAUCUUCUUGCUCCUGUACACCAAGUUCACAUUUACAUCAAGGACACCCCCACCACAGUCCACAGGAACGGGUACCAGCAGCUUCUCAGUCUCCAGGCCAAGUCCUUAUCUGUCCCGGAGCUCCUCCGCAAGCUCAAGUUCGUCCUCAUCAGUGCAGACCAGAUAGUCUGCCAGUCUCCAAUACCACAAUACCCCAUGCCUCAGCUUUGGUUCAGCCUCUGCACAACCCACGAGCUUGCCCUGUCUCAAACUCACAAUCCUAUGGUGAUGACCAACCACCAACUUCUGGGUUGCAUGCAGAUAGACGCCCAGCUAAUCAUCCUUCACCUCAAGCAGCAGGUCCAUCUCCCUAUCAUGCGUAUUCUCAUUCAGCUAACAUGUCUACUGUGGAUCCCAGGCCUCAGUUGUUUAAUCCCCAAGAUUUGCCACAAUCUUUUGGCCAUGAUUAUGCAAAUGAAGGUCCAGGGGGAGCUGGUGUAUUGUAUCCAGAGAAUGCGACUGGGCUCAGCUGUGGCCAAGGUUCUCGUCGUGUCCUUCUUGAUCCUGAGACUGGGAAAUACUUCUACAUUGACGCACCACCCUACUCCUCUUUGCAUAGUCCUGGGUUGUAUGCACCACAGUACCUGCCUUAUACUGUGCCAUCUUACCCAGCAAUCUCAGGUAGUGCCCAGCAAGUUCGCCAUCCAGAGCCACCUCCUGUCCCCACCACACUUCACCAGACUUCCUUAAGGUAUGGAAGUCCUGCAAGCCAGAUGCCAAAAAAUGAACCAAAAGGCCAUUCAUUGCUGGAUCAAAGUUAUUUAGAAAGCAUGUAUUACAUCCCCACUGGGAUGAAUGCAAGCCCAAAUUCAACCCCUUCAGACUGCUACCACAAGCCAUCAAGCAUGCCUCCUUCAGGGGGAAGAAGAGCAUGA
Molecule: long non-coding RNA, 6943 nt
Organism: Cyprinus carpio carpio
Lineage: Eukaryota; Metazoa; Chordata; Actinopteri; Cypriniformes; Cyprinidae
Source: Ensembl